Molecule: small nucleolar RNA, 107 nt
Organism: Plasmodium knowlesi strain H
Lineage: Eukaryota; Apicomplexa; Aconoidasida; Haemosporida; Plasmodiidae
Product: small nucleolar RNA snoR15
Exons: 1
Source: RefSeq, a predicted model, not a curated record
CUUUUACUCGUGCUCCUUUUAGCUAUCUACAAGGGGCUACAUGAAGCGAAAUGAGCGACAAAAGCGAGUAGUUUUCAAUCUGAUAAAAUGAGGAAAAUGCAAAUGGG